Molecule: ribosomal RNA, 253 nt
Filed under: uncultured prokaryote
Description: partial 16S ribosomal RNA
Rfam family: Bacterial small subunit ribosomal RNA
Source: RNAcentral
UACGUAGGCAGCGAGCGUUGUUCGGAGUUACUGGGCGUAAAGCGCACGCAGGCGGUCGUGUAAGUUUGGGGUUACAGCUCCCGGCUCAACUGGGAGAGCGCCUUGAAGACUGCAGGACUUGAGGGCCAGAGAGGGACACAGAAUUCCGGGUGUAGUGGUGAAAUGCGUAGAUAUCCGGAGGAAUACCAAAGGCGAAGGCAGUGUCCUGGCUGGUGACUGACGCUGAGGUGCGAAAGCUAGGGGAGCGAACGGG